Python bivittatus (Burmese python) is the source of this 101-nucleotide small nucleolar RNA. RefSeq annotates it as small nucleolar RNA SNORD16. The record is from RefSeq and is a predicted model, not a curated record. NCBI's taxonomy places the organism in Eukaryota, Metazoa, Chordata, Lepidosauria, Squamata, Pythonidae.
UGCUAUGAUGUUGUAAUUUGCGUCUUAUCUGGUAUUCAGGGACAGUUGCCUGUUGUCCAUGUGCUGUUGCCGUUGAACUGAAGACCCUUCAUGACUGAGCA